GACGAAGGGGGCUAGCGUUGUUCGGAAUUACUGGGUGUAAAGAGCGUGUAGGCGGCACGUUAAGUUCAGGGUGAAAGCGCCCGGCUCAACCGGGCAGAGUCCCUGGAAACUGCAGGGCUGGAGUCCGGGAGAGGAGGGUGGAAUUCCCAGUGUAGCGGUGAAAUGCGUAGAUAUUGGGAGGAACACCGGUGGCGAAGGCGGCCCUCUGGACCGGUACUGACGCUGAUGCGCGAAAGCGUGGGGAGCAAACGGG
RNAcentral lists this ribosomal RNA (253 nucleotides) under uncultured bacterium. RNAcentral's name for it is "partial 16S ribosomal RNA". It matches the Rfam family "Bacterial small subunit ribosomal RNA", at positions 524 to 776 of the family's 1533-position model. The record is from RNAcentral.